RNAcentral lists this unclassified non-coding RNA (168 nucleotides) under uncultured Aspergillus. RNAcentral's name for it is "sequence contains ITS2". The record is from RNAcentral. Lineage: Eukaryota; Fungi; Ascomycota; Eurotiomycetes; Eurotiales; Aspergillaceae.
CUGCCCUCAAGCACGGCUUGUGUGUUGGGCCCCCGUCCCCGCCUCACCGCGGGGACGGGCCCGAAAGGCAGCGGCGGCACCGCGUCCGGUCCUCGAGCGUAUGGGGCUUUGUCACCCGCUCUUGUAGGCCCGGCCGGCGCCUGUCGACACCAACCCCAAUUUUUCUAA